This 500-nucleotide ribosomal RNA is filed under the name uncultured Glomeromycotina. RNAcentral describes it as "partial small subunit ribosomal RNA". It matches the Rfam family "Eukaryotic small subunit ribosomal RNA", at positions 591 to 1092 of the family's 1831-position model. Lineage: Eukaryota; Fungi; Glomeromycota. The record is from RNAcentral.
CCAAUAGCGUAUAUUAAAGUUGUUGCAGUUAAAAAGCUCGUAGUUGAAUUUCGGGGUUAGUAAGUUGGUCGUGCCUAUGGUAUGCACUGGCUUUACUGAUUCCUCCUUCUUGAAGAACUGUAAUGUCAUUAAUUUGGUGUUGCAGGGAAACAGGACUGUUACUUUGAAAAAAUUAGAGUGUUUAAAGCAGGCUAACGCUUGAAUACAUUAGCAUGGAAUAAUGAAAUAGGACGUUUGAUCCUAUUUUGUUGGUUUCUAGGAUUGACGUAAUGAUUAAUAGGGAUAGUUGGGGGCAUUAGUAUUCAAUUGUCAGAGGUGAAAUUCUUGGAUUUAUUGAAGACUAACUACUGCGAAAGCAUUUGCCAAGGAUGUUUUCAUUAAUCAAGAACGAAAGUUAGGGGAUCGAAGACGAUCAGAUACCGUCGUAGUCUUAACCAUAAACUAUGCCGACUAGGGAUCGGAUGAUGUUAAUUUUUUAAUGACUCAUUCGGCGCCUUACG